GGGCUCGUGGUUUAGUGGUAUAAUACUCCCUUAGCAGUCCAUGAAUGGGAGUGGUCCGGGGUUCGAUUCCCCGCGAGUCCA
This 81-nucleotide transfer RNA is filed under the name Blumeria hordei DH14. RNAcentral's name for it is "tRNA-Ala for anticodon AGC". It matches the Rfam family "tRNA". Rfam says of the family: Transfer RNA (tRNA) molecules are approximately 80 nucleotides in length. Their secondary structure includes four short double-helical elements and three loops (D, anti-codon, and T loops). The record is from Rfam by way of RNAcentral. RNAcentral also lists the same sequence under 1 other name. Lineage: Eukaryota; Fungi; Ascomycota; Leotiomycetes; Helotiales; Erysiphaceae.